CCUACGGGUGGCAGCAGUGAGGAAUAUUGGUCAAUGGACGAGAGUCUGAACCAGCCAAGUAGCGUGAAGGAUGACUGCCCUAUGUGUUGUAAACUUCUUUUAUAUGGGAAUAAAACGUUCCACGUGUGGGAGUUUGUAUGUACCAUAUGAAUAAGGCUCGGCUAACUCCGUGCCAGCAGCCGCGGUAAUACGGAGGAUCCGAGCGUUAUCCGGGUUGAUGUGGUUUAAAGGUAGCGUAGAGUGGUUGUUAAGUCAGUUGUGAAAGUUUGCGGCUCAAACGUAAAAUUGCAAUUGAUACUGGCAGUCUUGAGUACAGUUGAGGUAGGAGGAAUUCGUGGUGUAGCGGUGAAAUGCUUAGAUAUCACGCAGAACUCCGAUUGCGAAGGCAGCUUACUAACCUGCCACUGACAUUGAUGCUCGAAAGUGUGGGUAUCAAACAGGAUUAGAUACCCUUGUAGUC
Molecule: ribosomal RNA, 460 nt
Filed under: uncultured bacterium
Lineage: Bacteria
Description: partial 16S ribosomal RNA
Rfam family: Bacterial small subunit ribosomal RNA
Source: RNAcentral